Molecule: ribosomal RNA, 180 nt
Filed under: uncultured Flavobacterium sp.
Lineage: Bacteria; Pseudomonadati; Bacteroidota; Flavobacteriia; Flavobacteriales; Flavobacteriaceae
Description: 16S ribosomal RNA
Rfam family: Bacterial small subunit ribosomal RNA
Source: RNAcentral
UCCUACGGGAGGCAGCAGUGAGGAAUAUUGGACAAUGGGCGCAAGCCUGAUCCAGCCAUGCCGCGUGCAGGAUGACGGUCCUAUGGAUUGUAAACUGCUUUUGCACAGGAAGAAACACUCCCUCGUGAGGGAGCUUGACGGUACUGUAAGAAUAAGGAUCGGCUAACUCCGUGCCAGCAG